UACGUAGGGUGCGAGCGUUAAUCGGAAUUACUGGGCGUAAAGCGUGCGCAGGCGGUUCGUUGUGUCGGUGGUGAAAUCCCCGGGCUUAACCUGGGAAUUGCAUUCGAGACUGAAUAGCUAGGGUACGGUAGAGGGAAGUGGAAUUUCCGGUGUAGCGGUGAAAUGCGUAGAUAUCGGAAGGAACAUCAGUGGCGAAAGCGGGUUGCUGGGCUGAUACUGACGCUGAGGCGCGAAAGCCAGGGGAGCGAAACGGG
RNAcentral lists this ribosomal RNA (254 nucleotides) under uncultured bacterium. RNAcentral describes it as "partial 16S ribosomal RNA". It matches the Rfam family "Bacterial small subunit ribosomal RNA", at positions 524 to 777 of the family's 1533-position model. The record is from RNAcentral.